ACGUUGUCAAGAUUCAGAUGGUUCUAAUGCAAAAAGGUUUAAACGUGAAACUGUUGGCCAAUUACGACCCCCACAACAAAGUGUUUCGGAUGUGUUACAAGGAUUAAUUUACGCAGUCAGGGGUAUGCAUAGGCCGACAUCUACACUCUAAAAAAUGCUGGGUUAUUUGUUUAACCCAACAGCUGGGUUGAGCCUGUUGGGUCAUUUUGUUGGGUUAUUUUCUCAGUGUUGGGUCAUUUUUUGAGUAACCCAAACGCUGGGUUAGCAGUCGGGUCCAAUUGAGUGACAGUUGAGACAGUAAACCCCUCCCACUCCUCGACGCAUCAGACAAACUUUACCUUCGCGGGCAUUUUGAUCCACCUCAUCUCGGAAAGUUGUUAUUCGGAGAAGAAAAGGUUACAGAAUAACAGCUAAUAUUAAUGGAUCAUUCUAUUCAAGAGAAAGUCAACUGGAACUUGGAUAUUUUCAUAACAGGCUUAAAGAUGAACAAAUUGAUAAAGAAACCCUCCUGCUGAACAUCCACUUCCAAAAGUGCACGCCACACUGUUGUCUACAACUCCCAGGAAAAGAAUCCUCUUUAGUAAGACUGCUCCGUGGAUAUGUCAGGUUAAGCAGUGCUGAAACCGAAAGAACUAACGCUCUUUAAAAUGUUUUGUGAGUUUAUAUGAAGAGGAAAGUUACGGUGUCCCUUUUUCACAUCCAUAACGCUUGUUUAUUUCUUUUUUUAUAGAAAACUUGUGCAUAGACUGAUAUUUUAUCAUAUAAAUGCGGUUCUAUCAACAAGGGUUUAGUAAAAUACUUUUUAUAGUGUUUUUAUGUCGCAUCCAUAAUGCUGGAAUUGCCCUAAAGCAUUUUACUCGUGCCACUUUGUUAACUGUAUAUGAAUUUUUGAAGUGUUAAGUUGUCUAACUAUUUAUAUUUACUUGUGCCACUUUAAUAACCUUGUUAAAGGUACAAUGUGUAGGAUUUUGAAGGAUUUAUUCACCUAAAUGUAAUAUAUAAUACAAAACUAUGUUGUGAGUGGUGAAGAAAUACCUUACAAAAUGAAACGAAAUGUUUAUAUUACCUUACAAUGAGCCAUUUUAUGUAUAUACACCGCGGGCACACCCUUACAUGUAAUUUAUUAAUGUGCACAGCCAUGUUUCUAUAGUAGCACUACACGGACAAACUGAGCGCGUUUCGUAAAACGAAGGAUGCGCGAGAAUAUGUUCUUCUUCUUCGGCUGUUUUUUGGGGCAGCUUCAAAGCGACUACAUAGAAGGAUUAGCAGAAGAAGAGGAAGAACAAUAACAGCAUUUACUUGUCGUGUUUUUUAGUAGAAAUAUAAACGGUUCUUUGUUGCGGUAAGAAGUGAAAUUUGCUCUAAUGGCGGACCACACAUACUCCGCACAAGAGCCGUUAGAGCGUCAAUCUGUUCGUUCAAAAAAGAGAAAAUACGACGCAGCAAGGCGAAGUCGAGACAAAAAACAGCAGAAAACCCGAAUAAACAUCGGCAUGGCUUUUCCCAAAUGGAGGGCACUGAAGCAGGAAAAGGGUUUGCUAAGCGACGCCGAAGUUGCCAGCUUUCUGCUGGACCGGUAAGUUUGUCUAAUUUCCGCUAUAUAAGUGAAGUGUUUGUUUGAUAGCUUUAGCUAAUAGAUGAGCAUGAGCAUCAAGUGAGUUUUUCUUGUUUUUAGCACUUUGUUAUUGUACUAUAAUUCCUUUUUGCAUGGCCGUGUGCAAAUCAAGUUAGAAAUCAUUUUUACAAUCAUAAUUUGCAUACAUCGGGUGUAAAUUAUAUUAUAAUACUGCUUAGCCUCUGUGCAUACAAAUGUGUAAUUUAAUAAUUGAUAGGAUAAAAUCCAAACUUCCACGUUGCAUAGUUUAUCAGUAAUACAGUGUCAACGAAGAUUUGAGAAGAUACAAUUGAUCAAUUGGGGUGAUGCCUUACUUUAGCAUUAGCAAGCGGUUUAAAUAGGCUGUAUGUUACGAACCAAGUUACCGUGCCAAAAAAUGCUAUGCAAAAUAAGCGAAUACAUCACUGACACAAUGUUAUACAAGUAACAAUAAUUUUCACUAUAACGAUUAGAGUAAAUAAUGAAUUAAGUCAAUUUAAUUAAUUUGUUUUUCUUUGUAAAUAAACCUCGUCACUUGAUUUGCAAAGGUUACUUUCUGCUGUCUCAGACGACGACAUCUCUGUCCUGUGUCCGUAACUUCAGUGUGUUGUUCGCCUGUGAGAUGUAGAUUGCAAUUAUCAACACCACCGAUAGUGGCCGCUAUCAUUUAUUGAACCCUUUUGUCCUGUGACGGCAACCGUAGCUACUCUAAUAGAAGGGAGAGGAUGGUGGCGGAGCUUUAGGUUGCAAUUUCCAACUACGCCAAUAGUGGUCUCUGUUACUUACACAGUUCACCUUUAAAUGUAUAUGUUAAAAUCUAAACUAAUGUAAUUUAUUGAAGUUAAUUUUCCUUAAAUAUGUAUAAACAUACAUUUCAUCAAAGUGUUUUAUAUGCCAUUUUAUUGUUCAUUGAGCAUAACCUAUUGCAUGUUUUUAUGAAUUCCUUUUAUUUUGCAUUUUGAUCCUUAAUAAAACUUUUGAUUCUUACUGAUGCCUCGAGUAUUUCUCUGUGAUUUUGUUAUUAUUAUUUUUAAACAUUUCGGGUUUGUUUAAAACCAGCAAUGUAAUUUUUAAGCAAAAGUUGAUUGAAAUAAAACAACCCAGCAUGUUGGGUCAAAGAUAUAACCCAACUGGCUGGGUUAAAAUAACCCAACGCUGGGUUUGUCCAUAUUUGACCCAGCGUUGGGUUACCAAAAUAACCCAAAUUGGGUUGUUUUAACCCAGCCUUUUUUUA
Molecule: long non-coding RNA, 2828 nt
Organism: Triplophysa dalaica
Lineage: Eukaryota; Metazoa; Chordata; Actinopteri; Cypriniformes; Nemacheilidae
Exons: 3
Source: RefSeq, a predicted model, not a curated record